Molecule: long non-coding RNA, 3066 nt
Organism: Panthera uncia (snow leopard)
Lineage: Eukaryota; Metazoa; Chordata; Mammalia; Carnivora; Felidae
Exons: 3
Source: RefSeq, a predicted model, not a curated record
UUCUAGUACGUAAGGUUCAUAGGAAUUCAGAGACUGAAUAUAUACCUAAAACAAAGCAGUCACUGCAUAAUAAAUAAUUUAUGACAGUAAAAUAUUUUAUUUAUAUGGGGUAGCCAAGUACUUACCAUUGUUUUUGCAGUAUAUAUGGAAUUUUAAAAAUUUAAUUGGAUAAGAGUGUCACUUCAUUGACCUCUUGCUUGAAGUAAAGUUGGUGCUUCUGGGAAUCUGGGAAAUCUAUUUGAACAAGAUGCUUCAGUUAAUUUAAGUGAAUCACUUCACUAAUUUGAUUGCAGUUAUUAGAUCUAUUAAUUGCAUAUGUAUGUAAGCAGUCUAUGAUCUAAAAUGUUACUGUGAUAUUAUUAAAUACAUGAUUCCUUUUUCUGAAGCAGGAGAUAUUAACAACCAGUGUUUGGCCAAAUUCUGUACAUACAAGUUUUCAGAGAAGUGAGAAGGUCAAAAACUAGUCUUGAAUUUACAGAAUCAGGUGGUUAAGGAAAACUGAAUACAGUAUACCUUUAUUUUAAUGUAUAUUAUAUAUAGUCAGGAGGAUUAAAAAGUAACAAGACACUACUCCUUAUUUAAAACAUUCACCCCUUUGUGGUAGUUGCAUGCGUCAUUAAUUGAAUUUAACAAAAGUAAGAUUUUGUUAAAUGCAGCGAUGGUGUGCUAUAAUCAAUUAAAUUAAAAAAUAGAGAGUUAGAUUCAGAGGGAUUCAGUAAGAUAUAAUACUCUUAUUGGCAAAAUUCAGGAUGGUGACCAUAACCAUCUGAUGGUGACCUUAAAAAUCAAGGGAGGGACUAUUGAUCCAAAUACAACUUAAUAUCCCACUAGCAGGAAUUAGAGUCACAGUUGUUGAUGGCAGUAAACCUUACCAGUAAUGAGAAUAAUUAGGGGAAGAUAGCUUAGGUCAAAAUUUGCUUACCUGGGGAGUGGGGUUUCCACCAAUCACAGUUCUCUCAUCUAAAUUUUAAUGUGCAAAGGUAGAAGAAAAAAAUAAAGUAAUAAUAGAGAAGGAAAGGAUGGGCGUGUUGAGAACUGGGGCAGAGGACCAGGAACUGCUCUGUUAGUACCCUGAGUUGACUCUCUUUGAAUAAUGGCCACUUCGUGAAGAGGAUCAGAAUACAACUAUAUGUGGGAUCCUCUGUAUACCUCACUUAGCUCGUAUUUUGGAUCCUGUGUCUUAGCAUCUGUAUCUGUGUACUUUUCCAUUAUCAGAUGAAAUUUGUUUUCCCCUUUGGAUUCAUCCCUUUUCAUAUAUUUAGGGAAUUUGUUCUAAUACAUACCCUUUCUGUCAGCAUCAUCAAACUGUUCUUUUCCACAGGCUGCUUUUCCUGUGACUUUAUACAUGCUUAUGACUUCCUUAAAGCAGCAGCAAACAACCUUGGAGAAAAGUUUUUGCAGUAAAACAGAGUUGAUCUUUCAGUGACCUAAAGAGCUCAUUCAUAGUCUAAGAAAAAAAGUCAUUAGAUCCUGCCAUAAUGGGGUAAUGAGUAUUGGAUUUAUCCUGUCUCCAUAAUCAACCAUAAAACUGGAUAAAAUACAUGUAGCAACUGAGGUUUUCUUAGCAUUAGAUAGCAGAGCAUAGGACAGUGAUCCUUGAGAGAAGGAAAACCCAAGAGAUUUAAAACCGAAGAGACUAAUGAUGUGAAAUCGUGGUCAGUGAAUUGCUGAAAGAUCCCUUAGGACCAGUCUCUGUAGGGAAGGUAUAAGGAAAGAUAAGAUUAAGCGUCAGUCAUAACUGUACAAGGGAGGAAGGCAGAAGAAACCAGGAAUAUUAGAUCUCUUAAUAUUUGAAUAAUUGUGAGGAUUAAACUCUUAUGCUGUUGCUUCUAUGUAAUGUUGUUGGCUCAUUACUGGAGAAAUAAUAAAAAUGAAAGAAAACUAUGACAGGUUGAUUUGGUUGAGCAAAAGAAUAUUGAUUAUUAUCAUUUAUAUGAGAUAUUUAACUUUUGUGCCUGAAUACUUUGCCACACAAAAAACAAUUGUACAUAUCAUUAAAUUUGUAUUAAAGUUAUAAAUCAGUCUUAAUAUCAUGUAAUUCAGUUAGUGUGUACUCAGGCAAUUAAUUGGUGCUCAAGUUGUAUGGACAUUGACUCAUAAGUUAAAAUGCUUAGCGGAAAAGAUAAAGCAUUUGCUUUAGAAUAGUGCAUGCAUUCACUUACGACAUCAAGAGGAAGCAAUCACACAAAUCUGAGUAUGUGAGAUUCUCAAGUCAACUGUACUGGACUCCAAAAAGUGAAUAUCAUAAGGGGAAAAAAGGUGGAAGGACUGUUCUAGACAAAAGUUACAAGAGACAUUCAAAAUGCAUGAACUUGUAUUUGAUCUGUUUCUCAGGUAAAAGCUCUUUAAGACAUUCUUGUGAUAAUUAGGGAAAAUGUGAAUGUGGGCUGCGUGCUAUAUUGUGAAAUUGUUAAUUUUCUUAGGUGAUAUAAUGGAAUUGUUAUUGAGAAUUUGUUUCUUCUUAGGAAAUGCGUGUCAAACUAUUUAGGGUUCAAAUGUCUUAAUGUCUGCAACUUUUAUAUGCUACAGCAAAAUACAUGUGUUAAAUAUAUCUGUGUAUGUAGAAAGAGGAAAUAAACUGGCAAAUAAUUAUUCAAUCAAGGUAAAGCCUGUACAGUUGUCCCCUUCUUUCAAAUUGUCUUUGCUUUAAAAACUAUUUUAAUAAUAAAAAGUUGCACACGUUUGCACACAUUUGGCAAUUUUUAAAACACCUUCAAAAAAGAAAUCAUGGUGAAAAUUAGAAAAUGCUGAGAACUGGAUGGUAAUGAAAAGAUUUUCUUUUUUUUUUUUCUUCUUUUCUCCCCCAUGGGUUUCUGUUAAGUUUCUCAGGAUCCACAUAAGAGUGAAACCAUAUGGUAUCUGUCUUUCUCUGUAUGGCUUAUUUCACUUAGCAUAACACUCUCCAGUUCCAUCCAUGUUGCUACAAAGGGCCAUAUUUCAUUCUUUCUCAUUGCCACGUAGUACUCCAUUGUGUAUAUAAACCACAAUUUCUUUAUCCAUUCAUCAGUUGAUGGACAUUUAGGUUCUUUCCAUAAUUUGGCUAUUGUUGAGAGUGCUGCUAUAAAC